CGCGUAGGCGGUUUACACAGUCAGAUGUGAAAUUCCAGGGCUUAACCUUGGGGCUGCAUUUGAUACGUGUAGACUAGAGUGUGAGAGAGGGUUGUGGAAUUCCCAGUGUAGAGGUGAAAUUCGUAGAUAUUAGGAGGAACACCAGUGGCGAAGGCGGCUUGCUGGGCUUUUACUGACGCUGAGGCUCGAAAGCGUGGGGAGCAAACAGGAUUAGAUACCCUCGUA
This 225-nucleotide ribosomal RNA is filed under the name uncultured Asaia sp. RNAcentral's name for it is "partial 16S ribosomal RNA". It matches the Rfam family "Bacterial small subunit ribosomal RNA", at positions 568 to 792 of the family's 1533-position model. The record is from RNAcentral. Lineage: Bacteria; Pseudomonadati; Pseudomonadota; Alphaproteobacteria; Acetobacterales; Acetobacteraceae.